RNAcentral lists this ribosomal RNA (1555 nucleotides) under Escherichia coli. RNAcentral describes it as "bacterial SSU rRNA". It matches the Rfam family "Bacterial small subunit ribosomal RNA". The record is from RNAcentral. Lineage: Bacteria; Pseudomonadati; Pseudomonadota; Gammaproteobacteria; Enterobacterales; Enterobacteriaceae.
UUAAAUUGAAGAGUUUGAUCAUGGCUCAGAUUGAACGCUGGCGGCAGGCCUAACACAUGCAAGUCGAACGGUAACAGGAAGCAGCUUGCUGCUUCGCUGACGAGUGGCGGACGGGUGAGUAAUGUCUGGGAAACUGCCUGAUGGAGGGGGAUAACUACUGGAAACGGUAGCUAAUACCGCAUAACGUCGCAAGACCAAAGAGGGGGACCUUCGGGCCUCUUGCCAUCGGAUGUGCCCAGAUGGGAUUAGCUUGUUGGUGGGGUAACGGCUCACCAAGGCGACGAUCCCUAGCUGGUCUGAGAGGAUGACCAGCCACACUGGAACUGAGACACGGUCCAGACUCCUACGGGAGGCAGCAGUGGGGAAUAUUGCACAAUGGGCGCAAGCCUGAUGCAGCCAUGCCGCGUGUAUGAAGAAGGCCUUCGGGUUGUAAAGUACUUUCAGCGGGGAGGAAGGGAGUAAAGUUAAUACCUUUGCUCAUUGACGUUACCCGCAGAAGAAGCACCGGCUAACUCCGUGCCAGCAGCCGCGGUAAUACGGAGGGUGCAAGCGUUAAUCGGAAUUACUGGGCGUAAAGCGCACGCAGGCGGUUUGUUAAGUCAGAUGUGAAAUCCCCGGGCUCAACCUGGGAACUGCAUCUGAUACUGGCAAGCUUGAGUCUCGUAGAGGGGGUAGAAUUCCAGGUGUAGCGGUGAAAUGCGUAGAGAUCUGGAGGAAUACCGGUGGCGAAGGCGGCCCCCUGGACGAAGACUGACGCUCAGGUGCGAAAGCGUGGGGAGCAAACAGGAUUAGAUACCCUGGUAGUCCACGCCGUAAACGAUGUCGACUUGGAGGUUGUGCCCUUGAGGCGUGGCUUCCGGAGCUAACGCGUUAAGUCGACCGCCUGGGGAGUACGGCCGCAAGGUUAAAACUCAAAUGAAUUGACGGGGGCCCGCACAAGCGGUGGAGCAUGUGGUUUAAUUCGAUGCAACGCGAAGAACCUUACCUGGUCUUGACAUCCACGGAAGUUUUCAGAGAUGAGAAUGUGCCUUCGGGAACCGUGAGACAGGUGCUGCAUGGCUGUCGUCAGCUCGUGUUGUGAAAUGUUGGGUUAAGUCCCGCAACGAGCGCAACCCUUAUCCUUUGUUGCCAGCGGUCCGGCCGGGAACUCAAAGGAGACUGCCAGUGAUAAACUGGAGGAAGGUGGGGAUGACGUCAAGUCAUCAUGGCCCUUACGACCAGGGCUACACACGUGCUACAAUGGCGCAUACAAAGAGAAGCGACCUCGCGAGAGCAAGCGGACCUCAUAAAGUGCGUCGUAGUCCGGAUUGGAGUCUGCAACUCGACUCCAUGAAGUCGGAAUCGCUAGUAAUCGUGGAUCAGAAUGCCACGGUGAAUACGUUCCCGGGCCUUGUACACACCGCCCGUCACACCAUGGGAGUGGGUUGCAAAAGAAGUAGGUAGCUUAACCUUCGGGAGGGCGCUUACCACUUUGUGAUUCAUGACUGGGGUGAAGUCGUAACAAGGUAACCGUAGGGGAACCUGCGGUUGGAUCACCUCCUUACCUUAAAGAAGC